Molecule: transfer RNA, 73 nt
Filed under: Nelumbo nucifera (sacred lotus)
Lineage: Eukaryota; Viridiplantae; Streptophyta; Magnoliopsida; Proteales; Nelumbonaceae
Rfam family: tRNA
About the family: Transfer RNA (tRNA) molecules are approximately 80 nucleotides in length. Their secondary structure includes four short double-helical elements and three loops (D, anti-codon, and T loops).
Source: Rfam by way of RNAcentral
GGUGAUGUAGCUCAAAUGGUAGAAUGCUCAUUUUGCAUGCGAGAGGUAUGGGGUUCGACACCCCAUAUCUCCA